GUCCUCCUCAAGAAAAAAAUCCUCCCCCAGUGGGAAAAAUGCCUUUUCGAAAAAGUUCACAAUAAGUUCUACCAAGAAAUGAUAGUCAACAGUCUCAGCAUACUUAACGCUGUGUAUAAUCCUAGGAACGAUAUUAACGUAAAGGACUGGAAUGUGUUCCUGGUGGGAGAGAAGGCCGCUGGCAAGAUGAUGAUUGUAAAGUGAUGCUGUUACAGUGGACACAUGGGGACAUCUGGGAAGGCGUCUACCCCACCUCAGAUGUUCCCCCGGGAAUAAUAGUCAGCCCCCUCCAUUUCUGGGUUUUCCAGGUGACUCAGAGGUCCUUGGACAACCUGACUUUGAAAUUAACAGACAUCCCCCGACCUGGCUGGGAGUCUGAGAUGGAGAGCAGCAUGUGAUAAACACUGAGAAUCUGUUUUGGCCUGAAGAGGGAAGGCAGGAAGAAUGACAUGGAGAAGAGGCACAUACUCUGUGUGGGACCGAGGCUGUAACCCUCCCGCGGUUUUAUCUUUCUGCAGGUUGACCUGUGUCUCGGUGGGUACCUGGUUUGAAGACGUGUUCAAGUCUAUUGUUCAUAACCAGAAUCUGAUGUCCCUGAGCCUGGACUGUGUGCCCCAUUCCCUAGAGAUGAUCUCACUUUUGGGUGAGGCCUUGGAGAAUCCGGUUUGCAGCAUAUGCAGCAUCUGAGGCAUAGAACACCCCGGUCAAACCUGAGAGCCUGGGGCUUCCUCGGAGGUUCAGUGGCUGGGACUCCACACUUCCACUGUAGCAGGCAACUCUGACCCUGAGAAAACAAAAAUAUACCAAGAAAAAAGCCUGAAGUUUUUAUCUUGACUGGGAGAUACACAGCCCACUAACCUGAGACUUCAGCCUUGGGUAAAUUUGUUGAAAAGCAAGCCAAGGAAAAGAAAAGGGGCAAGAGACAUUUUAUAAUAAAUA
Dama dama (fallow deer) is the source of this 939-nucleotide long non-coding RNA. RefSeq lists it as uncharacterized. Lineage: Eukaryota; Metazoa; Chordata; Mammalia; Artiodactyla; Cervidae. The record is from RefSeq and is a predicted model, not a curated record. The transcript has 4 exons.